CCUACGGGAGUCAGCAGUGAGGAAUAUUGGUCAAUGGUCUGGAGACUGAACCAGCCAAGCCGCGUGAGGGAUGAAGGUACAGAGUAUCGUAAACCUCUUUUGUCAGGGAACAAAGGCGGGGACGUGUCCCCGGAUGAGUGUACCUGAAGAACACGCAUCGGCUAACUCCGUGCCAGCAGCCGCGGUAAUACGGAGUAUGCGAGCGUUAUCCGGAUUUAUUGGGUGUAAAGGGUGCGCAGGCGGUCUGUUAAGUCAGCGGUCAAAGCCCGGGGCUCAACCCCGGCCCGCCGUUGAAACUGGCAGUCUGGAGUUGGAGAGAAGGAUGCGGAAUGCGCGGUGUAGCGGUGAAAUGCAUAGAUAUCGCGCAGAACUCCGAUUGCGAAGGCAGCAUGCCGGCUCCACACUGACGCUGAGGCACGAAAGCGUGGGUAUCGAACAGGAUUAGAUACCCCAGUAGUC
This 459-nucleotide ribosomal RNA is filed under the name uncultured bacterium. Its description in RNAcentral is "partial 16S ribosomal RNA". It matches the Rfam family "Bacterial small subunit ribosomal RNA", at positions 338 to 795 of the family's 1533-position model. The record is from RNAcentral.